AAUACUUCGUCUAAUCCGGGUCAGCAUCUAAAAAGGAAGCGAAAAUAAAACCAUCUUGCAGCGAAAACCAGGAUGAUAAAAAAAACAGAUGUCAGUGAGAAACAUAUCAGACAACAGGAGAUUUAUCUGGCAGUACCAGAUUCCCGGAGAUAAACAAGAAAAUCAGACGACUUAUUAACAAGAAAAACAUCUUUCCUGAGCUGCAUGACAUCACAGAUAUCAUCAUGAAAGUUAACAAGACUGAAAAUCUCUGUUUGUCUUCGGAGAGGGUGAAGGAUAUUUCAAACUCCACCUUUCAGGACGUGGGAUAUCUUCUCAAGGAACGACGCCGGCAGGAUUUUUUGAUCACCUUCAACUGCCGAUUGCCUGAUUGUGUGAAGUUAGCGUCUCAGCUCAUAAUAACUUCUCAAUCCUUUCCUCCCACCAUAAUUCUGGCC
Liolophura sinensis is the source of this 437-nucleotide long non-coding RNA. RefSeq lists it as uncharacterized. The transcript is spliced from 3 exons. The record is from RefSeq and is a predicted model, not a curated record. NCBI's taxonomy places the organism in Eukaryota, Metazoa, Mollusca, Polyplacophora, Chitonida, Chitonidae.